RNAcentral lists this unclassified non-coding RNA (198 nucleotides) under uncultured fungus. RNAcentral's name for it is "sequence contains ITS1". Lineage: Eukaryota; Fungi. The record is from RNAcentral.
UUAACUAUUAUAUAGUACUCAGACGACAUAAAAUUCAGAGUUUAGGUCCUCUGGCAGACACUUACCAGCCGGAGCCGGUAGCCAGGCGUAAACCUGACGGCCUGCCAAAGCAACAAAAGUAUAGUACUCAAGGGUGGGAGGUCUACCCCGAAGGGCAUGAACUCUGUAAUGAUCCUUCCGCAGGUUCACCUACGGAAA